GACGAACGCUGGCGGCGUGCUUAACACAUGCAAGUCGAACGGAAAGGCCCUGCUUUUGUGGGGUGCUCGAGUGGCGAACGGGUGAGUAACACGUGAGUAACCUGCCCUUGACUUUGGGAUAACUUCAGGAAACUGGGGCUAAUACCGGAUAGGAGCUCCUGCUGCAUGGUGGGGGUUGGAAAGGUUCGGCGGUUGGGGAUGGACUCGCGGCUUAUCAGCUUGUUGGUGGGGUAGUGGCUUACCAAGGCUUUGACGGGUAGCCGGCCUGAGAGGGUGACCGGCCACAUUGGGACUGAGAUACGGCCCAGACUCCUACGGGAGGCAGCAGUGGGGAAUAUUGCACAAUGGGCGGAAGCCUGAUGAAGCAACGCCGCGUGCGGGAUGACGGCCUUCGGGUUGUAAACCGCUUUCGCCUGUGACGAAGCGUGAGUGACGGUAAUGGGUAAAGAAGCACCGGCUAACUACGUG
This 468-nucleotide ribosomal RNA is filed under the name uncultured bacterium. RNAcentral's name for it is "partial 16S ribosomal RNA". It matches the Rfam family "Bacterial small subunit ribosomal RNA", at positions 28 to 507 of the family's 1533-position model. The record is from RNAcentral.